Molecule: ribosomal RNA, 463 nt
Filed under: uncultured bacterium
Lineage: Bacteria
Description: partial 16S ribosomal RNA
Rfam family: Bacterial small subunit ribosomal RNA
Source: RNAcentral
CUACGGGGCGCAGCAGUAGGGAAUUUUCGGCAAUGGGGGAAACCCUGACCGAGCAAUGCCGCGUGAAUGAAGAAGGUCUUCGGAUUGUAAAGUUCUGUUAUUGGGAAAGAACACCUGGAUCAGGAAAUGGGUUCAGGUUGACGGUACCCGAUGAGAAAGCCCCGGCUAACUACGUGCCAGCAACCGCGGUAAUACGUAGGGGGCAAGCGUUAUCCGGAAUUAUUGGGCGUAAAGCGUGCGAAGGCGGUUUUUUAAGUCAGUCGUAAAAGAUCUCAGCCCAACUGAGUAGGGCGAUUGAAACUGGAAGACUUGAGUACGGUAGAGGUAAGUGGAAUUCCAUGUGUAGCGGUGGAAUGCGUAGAUAUAUGGAGGAACACCAAUGGCGAAGGCAGCUUACUGGGCCGGAACUGACGCUGAGGCACGAAAGCGUGGGGAGCAAACAGGAUUAGAUACCCGAGUAGUC